This is a long non-coding RNA of Salmo trutta (river trout), 2660 nucleotides long. The record is from Ensembl. NCBI's taxonomy places the organism in Eukaryota, Metazoa, Chordata, Actinopteri, Salmoniformes, Salmonidae.
GUCUUUGUAUUCCCAAUACAGGAAGGCCCAGGAAGUUCCAGAACAGGGUGACCCAGACAAGCCUACCUGUUGACGUUGGAGAAUGGAUCAAGCUGAAGGUCCACAAGAGGAAGUGGAACCACCCCAGAUGGAUGGGUCCGUACCAGGUCAUCGCGGCGACACCCACAGCAGUGAAGGUCCAGGAGCGCCAGGGGUGGCAUCACCUAUCACACUGCCAGAAGACGUCCCAACCAUCAUAACAGAUAAGAGUGCACACCCAGACCCAGAUGUUGUUAUACAUGACCACUAUGGUCACAUUGUUAAAAAGAAAACUUGGGGUAAACCUUUGAGGUACAUGUUUUUGAUACUUCUUAUCAUCCACCAGCAGCCUCUUUUGGGGGGAAUAGAGAUCCAAGAAAAUCAAUUGAAGACCGGUAACCAAUGGGUAAAAAUGGUCCAGAACCUGAGCCAACAAGCCACACCUAGUGGUUCCUAUGUAGUCGUUUAAAAAAAACUCAGUCAGAGUGAAUUGUUUGGAUCAAUGGUAGUCCCAUUGCUAAGUACACCUACUCCAUGCAGGCCCAUAUGAAUUUGACGAUUGCUGAUUUUGCCCUUCUUUCUACUGAUGUUCAAAAUCUUAAAGCUGUUAGAGCCAGGCUUAGCCUGGCAUUAGACUACAUCCUGGCUAGGGAGGGUGGAUAUUGCAGGGCCCUAAAUUAUAUUUCCCUCACUGAAUGUGUUAUGCUUCUCCCUGACUCCUCUGAUAAUAUGACAGAGAUUUUGAAAGAAUAAACACAGUUGGCUGAUACCUAUACCCCUACAGGAGAAGACUCCUGGUUCCCGUUUGGGUGGUUGAAGGUAAGUUAGGCAAUUUUGGAUUUAAGCUGUUUUCCAUUUUGGGCCCAUUACUGGCCCCACUGCUUGUUCUGCUGAUCUGCAUUUGUGCAUUCUGUGCAGCUGCAAAUGUAUACUUCAUAAGGCUAUGCCAGGCAUGUUUAUGCUUCAUGUUCCUCAUCCCCCAGACCCUUAUUUUUAUCCUCAAUCUCCUGAGGAUUGCUUGCAAUCUAAUGCACCUUUUAUGGAUGAUUCUUAUAAUCACUAUGCUUGAGUUACUUCGCUUUUGUUGUGGCCUGGUGGCCUCAAAGGGGGGAAUGAAGGGGUUAAACCAAGGCCUCAUACCUUUUAAGGGGUUAAUAAAUUGUUUUUUGAUAAACUAUAAGGUCUCCUCUUUAGGAGACCUUUGUGUGUGUGUUAACACCUAUUUUAAGUGUUGUGCCCUUCAGACACUAUCAGAAGGCGGAAACCGCCUACGCUCAGACUCCUCCUGUCUGGGCCCCACCUGGGUAUCUGAGGUUCUGAGAAUACGACUGGUUUUCCGAGAACACAAGGCUGCCGCAGGCCUGAUGAAAACAGCCACCUCAGAAGAUGCUUGGACUCGUUCACCUUGUUAUGACUCUAUACUUGUGAUGAAAGGUCAAGUUUCAGGAUGCAGCAAAUGACUGAACAAAAAGAGCCACCUUGGAGUAUCCCAUGACGUCAAAAGUAAUGUGUGAGGCAUGCGCUCUCAGUUAAGUAUUUAAUUGUUAAAUCUAAGUAUGUAUUUCAAUCUCAAUAAAGUCUAGCCUAUGUGAUAAUGGCACUGGCAUUUGAAUAGAUAAUCUAGGCAUUACCUAAAAUGCACGAAUUCAAACAACGAUGUUACUGAUACGUCCUCCGCUGAGAUUGAAAGGUGUCACACCUGUAUGGGGUCUGAGUUGGCAGACCUGGGGGUCCAGGAGCAGGUAUCAUUACUCCAGCUACAUCCAGCUGUCAUGGACUGAGAACACCUGAGAGAUGUUGAGAAAUAAAAAGAUCUACGAAAUGUGUGUGUGUGUGUGUGUGUGUGUGUGUGUGUGUGUGUGUGUGUGUGUGUGUGUGUGUGCGCAUGCUUACGGCACAACGGGUUGUGGUGAACUCACAUACUCUGUCUGUCUGUUUUCUGCACGCAUGCUGGGAUAAUGGAUCACAUGAUUGUGCCCAGGGGUCAGUGGUAGUAGAUUUCAAACCAUCCAUCAUAAUUACAUACAGUAUCUCUACUGUUUGUGUCCUUGAUUAACACUGGUUCAUUAAAUAAAUUAACAGAGUAUAUUUAAAUCACCAAAACUAAAAACCAAGCCUAGGGCCACAGAAAUAUCUAGUGUAUAGAAAUGAUUUAGUUUAGCUUUGUUGGGUCAGUAAUCGAAAGGUUGCUAGAUCGAAUGCAUGCACGCACGCACACACACACACACACACACACACACACACACACACACACACACACACACACACACACACACACACAUACAUACAUGUCUACCUGUUCAAGCCCACACAUUAAUUUGCAUUUCUAUAGCAAUUCACACACGUAUAAGAUCCAACAACAUGGGUUCACCUUUGGAACGAGCUAUACAGGUUAAGAAGCAUGCCUUUAACUCUUUUCUAUAAAUGGCUACUGGCUGUGGGGUUGUCUGAUGGGGAAAGAAAGUGGGUGUGGCAAGCUUUUUUUUUACAUACUUAAUUUGUUGUGUAAUAAAAAAUUGUUACAACUUAUGCCAUGAAGCAUCUUUGUUUUCCAGUGGCUUAUUCAAAUAAUGUGGUUUAGACAUGACUACAAUUCCCAUCAGCACGCUAGGUGUGACCAACAAAACUCCUCUGAUUGGUUG